Molecule: signal recognition particle RNA, 299 nt
Filed under: Cebus imitator (Panamanian white-faced capuchin)
Lineage: Eukaryota; Metazoa; Chordata; Mammalia; Primates; Cebidae
Description: Metazoan signal recognition particle RNA (ENSCCAG00000005499.1)
Rfam family: Metazoan signal recognition particle RNA
About the family: The signal recognition particle (SRP) is a universally conserved ribonucleoprotein. It is involved in the co-translational targeting of proteins to membranes.
Source: RNAcentral
GCCAGGCUUGGUGGCGCAUGUCUGUAGUUCCAGCUACUUGGGAGGCUGAGGUGGGAGGAUCACUUGAGCCCAGGAGUUCUGGGCUGUAGUGAGCUAUGCCAAGCGGGUGUCCACACUAAGUUCGGCAUCAAUAUGGUGACCUCCUGGGAGUAGGGGACCACCAGAUUGCCUAAGGAGGGGUGAACUAGCCCAGGUUGGAAAUGGAGCAGGUCAAAGCUCCCGUGCUGAUCAGUAGUGGGAUUGCGUCUGUGAAUAGCCACUGCACUCCAUCCUGGGCAACAUAGUAAGACCCCAUCUCA